Molecule: ribosomal RNA, 538 nt
Filed under: uncultured bacterium
Lineage: Bacteria
Description: bacterial SSU rRNA
Rfam family: Bacterial small subunit ribosomal RNA
Source: RNAcentral
AAUAGAUACCCGGGUAGUCCACGCCGUAAACGGUGGGCGCUAGGUGUGGGGGACUUUCCACGUCCUCUGUGCCGCAGCUAACGCAUUAAGCGCCCCGCCUGGGGAGUACGGCCGCAAGGCUAAAACUCAAAGGAAUUGACGGGGGCCCGCACAAGCGGCGGAGCAUGUGGCUUAAUUCGACGCAACGCGAAGAACCUUACCAAGGCUUGACAUGCAGGGAAAUCUCGUAGAGAUACGGGGUCCGCAAGGGCUCUGCACAGGUGGUGCAUGGUUGUCGUCAGCUCGUGUCGUGAGAUGUUGGGUUAAGUCCCGCAACGAGCGCAACCCUUGUCCUAUGUUGCCAGCGAGUAAUGUCGGGGACUCAUAGGAGACUGCCGGGGUCAACUCGGAGGAAGGUGGGGAUGACGUCAAAUCAUCAUGCCCCUUAUGUCUUGGGCUGCACACAUGCGUACAAUGGUCGGUACAAAGGGCUGCGAGACCGCAAGGUGGAGCGAAUCCCAAAAAGCCGGCUCAGUUCGGAUUGGGGUCUGCAACUCCG